This 484-nucleotide ribosomal RNA is filed under the name uncultured bacterium. RNAcentral's name for it is "partial 16S ribosomal RNA". It matches the Rfam family "Bacterial small subunit ribosomal RNA", at positions 29 to 523 of the family's 1533-position model. The record is from RNAcentral.
AGUGAACGCUGGUGGCGUGCUUAACACAUGCAAGUCGAACGAGAACGGGUUAUAGCUUGCUAUAAUUGUCAGCUAAGUGGCGCACGGGUGAGUAAUGUAUAGGUAAUAUGCCUCUUACUAAGGGAUAACAAAUGGAAACGUUUGCUAAUACCUUAUACUCCUUAUUAACAGAAGUUAAUAAGGGAAAGAUUUAUUGGUAAGAGAUUAGCCUGUAUUGUAUCAGUUAGUUGGUGGGGUAAUGGCUUACCAAGACUAUGACACAUAACUGGUUUGAGAGGAUGAUCAGUCACACUGGAACUGAGACACGGUCCAGACUCCUACGGGAGGCAGCAGUGGGGAAUAUUGCACGAUGGACGAAAGUCUGAUGCAGCAACGCCGCGUGGAGGAUGACACAUUUCGGUGCGUAAACUCCUUUUAUAUGAGAAGAUAAUGACGGUAUUAUAUGAAUAAGCACCGGCUAACUCCGUGCCAGCAGCCGCCGUAA